UCCAAGAUCUUUCUGUGCUUAGCAUUAAGUUCUUUAGAAACGUUGGCCUUCUCGUUCAUGUUUGGCAGAAUCUCUAUUAUCUAUCUCUUCUUUCCACAAAAAAGAAAGAAAAAGAUUUAUUAAAAGUUUCUUCAAAUACCCUUCUCCUCUUUCUUUAUCUGUCACCUCAGGACCAAAGAGAACAUUCAGAUAAAGGAAGCUGAUAAGUAGAAGAAGAAGGAGAAGAAAUGGCAAAGUGGG
Molecule: unclassified non-coding RNA, 240 nt
Filed under: Hevea brasiliensis (rubber tree)
Lineage: Eukaryota; Viridiplantae; Streptophyta; Magnoliopsida; Malpighiales; Euphorbiaceae
Source: RNAcentral